CCGUACCCAUCCCGAACACGGACGUGAAGACCUCCAGCGCCGAGAAUACUUGUCUCGAGAGGGACUGGGAAGGUAGGUCGUUGCCAGGC
This 89-nucleotide ribosomal RNA is filed under the name Alicyclobacillus sacchari. Lineage: Bacteria; Bacillati; Bacillota; Bacilli; Caryophanales; Alicyclobacillaceae. The record is from RNAcentral.